RNAcentral lists this ribosomal RNA (373 nucleotides) under uncultured bacterium. RNAcentral describes it as "bacterial SSU rRNA". It matches the Rfam family "Bacterial small subunit ribosomal RNA", at positions 30 to 412 of the family's 1533-position model. The record is from RNAcentral.
AUUGAACGCUGGCGGCAUGCCUUACACAUGCAAGUCGAACGGUAGAGUAGCAAUACUCGAGAGUGGCGAACGGGUGAGUAAUAUAUCGGAACGUGCCCAGUCGUGGGGGAUAACGUAGAGAAUUUACGCUAAUACCGCAUACGAUCUAAGGAUGAAAGCGGGGAGUCGCAAGACCUCGCGCGAUUGGAGCGGCUGAUAUCAGAUUAGGUUGUUGGUGAGGUAAAGCUCACCAAGCCGACGAUCUGUAGCUGGUUUGAGAGAACGACCAGCCACACUGGGACUGAGACACGGCCCAGACUCCUACGGGAGGCAGCAGUGGGGAAUUUUGGACAAUGGGCGAAGCCUGAUCCAGCAAUGCCGCGUGCAGGAAGAA